Molecule: long non-coding RNA, 366 nt
Filed under: Gouania willdenowi (blunt-snouted clingfish)
Lineage: Eukaryota; Metazoa; Chordata; Actinopteri; Blenniiformes; Gobiesocidae
Description: lncRNA (ENSGWIG00000023748.1)
Source: RNAcentral
AUCAGAGGAAUGAAGCUUAUUUUUCCUCAGGCUGUUUGUUUGUGUUUCACCUGCUCCGACCAUCGGUCUAUCAGUCGGUCUUCAUCUAAUGACAUUAACGGCUCGGUCCUCACUGCGCCCCGGAGCGGAUUAACUCACACCGGCUGAUCGGGAAUGAAGACGCGUCCCUGUUCUCGUCCUUAGCGAGGGGAUGGACGACCAUGGUGAGAGCUGUAGCUUUAAGAGGCGCCUUCAUGGAGCCCUGACACACAGGGCAGAGAGCAGGUGAGUGUGUGUGUGUUAGCGUGACAUUUUUUAAUUUGAAAUUAAUUAUUUCAAAUGAAAUUAUACAGAAUUAAAGUAUUCUGCUUCGUGUUUACAUGAAAA